UACGGAGGGUGCAAGCGUUAUUCGGAAUUACUGGGCGUAAAGCGCACGUAGGUGGUUUGUUAAGCUAGCUGUGAAAUCCCCGGGCUCAACCUGGGCACUGCAGUUAGAACUGGCAAGCUAGAGUAGGGUAGAGGGGUGUGGAAUUCCAGGUGUAGCGGUGAAAUGCGUAGAUAUCUGGAGGAACAUCAGUGGCGAAGGCGACACCCUGGGCUCAUACUGACACUGAGGUGCGAAAGCGUGGGGAGCAAACAGG
This 253-nucleotide ribosomal RNA is filed under the name uncultured bacterium. RNAcentral describes it as "partial 16S ribosomal RNA". It matches the Rfam family "Bacterial small subunit ribosomal RNA", at positions 524 to 776 of the family's 1533-position model. The record is from RNAcentral.